GGUAGGUGGUCAACUGAACUGGCCUGGCUUCCAGUGUUGCUUGCAGCCCUGAACACCCUUCUCCUUGGACCUUCUAGGCCCUUCCUUUGUCUUCCUUUCCCAUCCUGCAUCCUUUAUCGACAGGACCUCUGCACCCAGUGCAGGUUGCUCUCAUUCCAAUCCCUUUUCACAGUCUGUUUUCUAGAUGAAACCCUGGGCCUUCCUCCUUGACACAGCUAAGAGCACAGACUGUGGAGUCAGAUCUAUCCAGCACUGCUACUUAGAAGCUGUGUGACCUUAGGACAAUUACUCAACCUCUCUGUGUCACAGAUUCUACAGCACAAAACCAGUAAUAGCACUCACUUCACAGGGCUGCAAGGAGAAUUAAACAAGCACAAGAACAAGGACAGAGUGUGGGUGCUCACCACUAGCUCGCCUAGCAUUUGCCACAGUCAGAGACCUUCAGUGAAUACAGUGUUACCCCACAAAUGACUUAGGGAUUACCAAGGGGAAACGAGGUCACCACCUUAUCCGUGGUCCAAACUUCUCAUCAGUAGGGAACCAACUAAUCCUCUGAUGUGAUGCAACGAGAAGGGACACCUCCCCCAUGAGGUACUCCUGCCAAAACAUUUAACCUGAAUCUAAUAAUAAGGGCGCCAUCAGACAAAUCCAAGCUGGGCGACAUUCUGCCAAAGAGCUAAGCUGGGUUCUUCAAAAAUGUCAAUGUCAGGAGAAAGAAAACCAAACGAAACCUU
Molecule: non-coding RNA, 734 nt
Organism: Macaca mulatta (Rhesus monkey)
Lineage: Eukaryota; Metazoa; Chordata; Mammalia; Primates; Cercopithecidae
Source: RefSeq, a predicted model, not a curated record